Molecule: long non-coding RNA, 203 nt
Filed under: Panax ginseng (ginseng)
Lineage: Eukaryota; Viridiplantae; Streptophyta; Magnoliopsida; Apiales; Araliaceae
Description: long non-coding RNA (PGIN_LNC015101)
Source: RNAcentral
UUUCUUACGUGAGAAUAAAGUGAAUUUUAUUUUAAUGUGAAAGAGAAUUCUGAGGAAAUAUUAAAAAUUUAUGUGUAAAUGGAUGCAUGGGGGCUCGUAACGGACUAAAAUAAAGUAAAUGGCUUAAUGUUUUUCAACGUAUGGAGAUAUUUUGAACUAAUUCUUCUGGCUUUUUGAUGGGAUUACAAAUGGGUUUCCAAAAG